UGAUGGAGCAGUCUGGUAGCUCGUCGGGCUCAUAACCCGAAGGUCGUAGGUUCAAAUCCUGCUCCCGCAA
Molecule: transfer RNA, 70 nt
Filed under: Pediococcus pentosaceus
Lineage: Bacteria; Bacillati; Bacillota; Bacilli; Lactobacillales; Lactobacillaceae
Description: tRNA-Met
Rfam family: tRNA
About the family: Transfer RNA (tRNA) molecules are approximately 80 nucleotides in length.
Source: RNAcentral